ACCAACAGUCUUCAAAUGACACUUAUUCAUUAACAAAUAUAUGAAUGACAUUAUUAAUUUCAAAUGAUCACAUGAUUGUUGUUGUUAAUAAUGCAUAACCUGAAGAAAAACACAUCAGACCAAAUCUGUUCAGGUGGGUCAUUUGGUUGCAUGAAAACCACCUUAAACCAGCUAAAACUGGUAAACCACUUCAGGCUGGUUUCAUGUUUUAUUCAUCGGGGAAUUUGCAGGAAAUGACUAUAGAACUAAGCUCUGAAGUUCACUAUUGCUCAUGAUACCCAAGGUUUUCAGAUCUGAGUCAUGUUCUCCACUGCAGCAUCGAACACGAGUCCAGUCACGUACAUGAUGGAAAAAAAUCUCCCAUGAUGCUCACCGUGUAGCAUGUGUCCUGUCCAAAUUUAUAUUAAAAUACAGAUGGAAGCUCUAUCUAUCCUAACCCUGUUCUCGUAUAACCCAUUCAAACCCUAAAUGUUAUGAGAAAUACAUUUUGAAUAAGCACAAGGAAUUAUAUCAUUUGACCUUGACGGCUCGUCCGACCUUCAUGAUGCCAGUGAUGUCUGACAUUUUUUCUGUUUAUAUGCUUUUAGAAGCAUUAGAGCGCAAACGGCUGAAUUUAUGUUCGAAAGGGCAUCUUAGCAGAUGGUACAUUCUGGAACGAUAUGACGCAAUGAGCCCAUCGCGAGCGGCCCGCAAGGCACGUCGCGCUGCUCAUUCUUCAACAUUUUCAUUUAAUAAAACACUAACAUUUCACGGGUAUGAAAUUAAUAUUGUAUAUUCUAUAAUAAAGCAUUUAUAUACUUGCUUAAAUCCGCAUGGAAUGUAUGAAUGAACCACCACCUCCAUAUAUUCGUGCAUCACGCAGAAACUGACGGAUUAUAUAACAACUUCCUCACUAACUCAAACGUGGCAAACAAAAUCAUUCAACGCUAACCAUCGACUUUAAAAGGUUUAAAAUGUGUAUGCCAUUUUGCAGUCUGUGAAUUCGACACAAAAAUGAUGUAAAGUCUAUGAGGAAGAGCUCACCUCCUUUAGUGAUGCUGCUGCGACGGCUUCUGCUCGGUUUCCGCGUAAUGCUGCACCAUUUUAUACCGGACACGUGCCACCGGGGCCUGUCACCCUGGCAACCCGACGUCAUACCGUAGGAUAAUUUUAAAGAAGCAUAUACGAGCUAUCUAUCACGAAUGCUAUGGAAACGCUGAUGGGAGACUGGGUGAGACGAUACUAUAGAAGGACAUGGAGGGGAGAUUUAUAACAUGCCUGAAACAAGCGCAGUUCGGUGCUGUAGAGAUGUGCCAGACUUCCAAAAUGCUAAAUGAAACUCUAAAAGAUCCAUACCCCUCAUGCAGAAUUAUGUUACCUGGGCAUAUUAUUAUAUUUUACCCUUCACAAGAUAAGUAGAGCCAUUUAAUUGAAGUUUUCGCCUCUGAAAGUUGCUUUCUGUAUUAAAGCUCCAUGAAAGGAUGCAAGGACACCAGAUAAGUUAUGUUACCAGUUAAUUUACACAAACCCACUUUUUGGAGGCAACCUGAAUCUAAUUUUUCAGAGCAUUGCUAUUAAAAGUACCCAGUGUGCAUUUAUCUUUGCUAUAUUAUUUAAUUUCAUGCAUAGAUACUGGGAAAAAUCACUGUGGUUAUAAUUGUGGCUAUGCAAAAAAUCACGCCCUUUUACUAAAUGACACGUAGUUCAUUAAAUUCAUUUAAACGUUCGUUAUUUGGGCUUAAAUUGUUUAACACAAACCCGCUUACAUAGCCUGCUGUUGGAAAUUAAGGUGCACGUCCUAGUCAAAAAAAAGCAGAAGUGAAUUUGCAUGAAUGUAACGUCAGGAUGAGGAAAGGGUGGAAUUCCGCACGCUGUUGCACGUGACCUUGACAGAGGCGCGCGGAUGCAGACGUGAGAGAAGGCGCGUGCUGCAGGGACCGCGCAGAGAGAGGAGCUGUGGGCGGGGCGUGCUCACACAUUCAGAGCAAACAUAUCUAAUUAAACAUGAAUGGUGCUCCAUAUUGACCUAUCAUCGUGUUUGAGCGUUUUUCUCCUUUAAACCAUAUACAGUAAAAGAAAAGAAGACCAAUUUAUAUAUUAGCCAAGGAAACGACGCAAUACACAACGAGCACCCUCGUGUGGUGUAAAUAUGUUAGUUACAAGACAGCAAUUCUUUAAUUUAGUGUUACUUGUUCUAUUAAAAUAACUAAAACUAAAAUGUAAAUAAGGGUUAAAAUAAAGACAUUUAACAAUAAACAUUUAAAGAUUAAAAGUAUAAAAAUAGAAACAAAGUUAAAAUAGAAAAAAGUUAUAUUAGUAGCUCAAUUAUACUAAAAUAAUACUGCCCCGAACAACUUGUUGGUCAAAACUAUGGUUUGAUAUUUAUGUUAAUUAACCUAUACAUUCUGCUUUUGGUAAUAACUAGAUAAUAUCAAUAAAUACAGAUAAAUACAUUUACUAGCCUUUUUUUUAUUAUUAUUUUAUGUCUUUUAUUGUUAAGGUGACAACCCUGGAAAACCCAUGAGCUUAAAAAGGUAAGAAGAAGAAGUUAAUGAUGAAUUAGGAUAUAAAACUACUAAAGUAAACUAAAAACAAGAGAAAAUGCAAUGUAAGUGUAUCAUGGUAAAAACAGACUCUGGUAAAAGUUAAAAUAGACAUCCAACAUUUGAUAUUGAUUAUUCCAAGUUUUAUGUAAUAUUAAGACAAGCAGGUUUUUAAUUGAUGCUAGAGUCACAUUAAUAAAUCUUUUUUUUUAAAACAUAAAAUAAUUAACUUUUAAAAGCUUUUUUUAAUUACGUAUAAACAAUGAUAUGUGGAGGAGUUGGUGACAUUAAAGAUGCUGAAUCAUUCCUCAUUCGUCCACUGGAUGGAGCUCCUCAAACAUACAGUAAAAAGCCUAAAGCCCAUCAUACAAAAAAUAACUUGAGCAAAACUAACAUUUAAAAGUACAACCACAAAUGUUUGUGAAACCCACAAUCUUCAACUUUCUGGUUUCCUGUAUGAGAUUGCUUAUAGUCUAAAUCCUGGAAAGCGUUUAACUGGGUCAAAAUGAAGAAUGAUGUAGACUAUACACAUCAAGCAAAAGAUUAGGCCAACAGCAACACUGACAUGGUUGAUGAUGCGUGCCAUUCUGGAGUUUCUGCUGGCUAUUUGCUGGUGUCCAAACAUGUUAGCAUCUCGAGUCUGUAAAAAAACAACAACAAAUGUUUCAAUGUUACCUUUAUAGUACCUUUCUUAAAUAACAUUUUAAGGGAUUCACAGGGCAUGAUAUAGAAUCACUAAGAAAACAUUACACAAAUGGAAAUGAGAAAACAUAUCUUGAAUUAUUAUUAUUUUUUUUUUUUUUUCAGCUCUGCUUCCUUGUUUAUAGGCUGUUACAGAGUGGUUUUCGUAAUAAACAAAACCUUUUUAUUUUUGGCUGUUGACAGUAUUUUCUGAUUUAUGGAGCAAUAAAAAAGAAACAAAAUCCUUUUUGUGUAAAAAAAAAAAAAAAGAAAAACUAACAAAACAAUAAAAUCUGUCAACAAUUUUGAACCUUGGUUUGUUCAAUGUCCAAGUAUCUGUUCUGGAUAUGCAAAUUGUAUAUUUAAUUAGACAAUGCCCCAUUUUCAUUUUUUCAGAAUUUCAUGAAAAAAAAAAUUAAUCAAUUCUAAUACAAGACAUGCUGCAUUAAUGUACUCUGAUUUAUCUGGUGACAUCUAUUUGGUUAAAUUGAGCUAUUUAGUUAUUUAUUAUUAACUUUUUAAAUCAGUUUCAAUUCAUUCUAGUCAUACAGUACAAUGACUUGUAAUAAAGCAAAUUAAUAGUUUGUAUCCCACGUUCCCUCCAAACAUCUGUUCUGCAUCAUCAGUUUACAGAUACAUUUAUUAGAAAAAUAUUAUCCAAGCAGAAAACAAACAAUAUUAAUCCAAUCUUUCCUAAUGGCAAAGAUGUGCCAUUUCAAUCCCAAAUUAAAUUUAUCCACACAAAAGAUUUAUCUGGAAGAACAAUUCAUGCAGGUUCUGUAAGAAAGAUAUUUAAAUCUUCUUCUAGUGUGAACUUGUUCAGAAAUUUUCUUUGAAAUUUCAAAACUGGCUUCAUUCCAAAAUAACAUCAUUACACAUUUGACUGUGGUCUCUAUUCAAGUUGGAGUAUUGAUGAAGGAAAUAAACCUAGACUUUUUGGUAAAUAACCUUAUUGUUUUAUGAAAACGUUUUCUUAGAUGUAAGUAUUUGAUGCUUAAACUCCAUUUAAGCGGAUGGAAGAAUGAACUAAAAAUAUUUGCGACUUCUUUUCAUAAGAGGUAACCAAGGCAUAAACUAACACACAAUUUUUCACUUUUUUUUUUCUUUGGUGCCUCACCUCUUUUUUCUGUAAACAAAAAGUUACAAGAAGCAACAAAACUGGAUUUCUGGAUUGCACAAAUAUAUCGAGAGACACUUGUCAUGCUUCACAUGCUGUAAAUAAUCUGAGCAUGUCAAGAAUAGUUAGAAAUAAGCAAAAUCUUGAGUGAGCAUGCAUCAGCAUUAGAUGUAACCCAGUCAGCAUAAGACUAACCUUUAAUGUUGAAAUGCGGUUGAAAUAUUGUCAGUUGUUAUUUUUUUUUUUUACAUUAAAAAAACAUUGGAACAAUUCACUUCUUGUAAAUGCAUGAAGAAAGGUAAAAAAAGGCCAAUAAAUUAAUGUUAAAAAUAAAGUUAGAAUAAAAAAUAUCAACAUCAAUCCAUGAAGUUAAAUCACCAGUAAAUAAACAAUCCUGACUCUCUGUGCUUGUUGUGCCAUACCCAAAAAGACUUAAGGCUGUAAUUCCUGCCAAAGGUGCUUCAACUCAUUACAGAGUAAAGGGUCUGAAUACUUAUAUAAAUGUGAUACUUCAGUUUUUUCUUGAAAUAAGUUAGCAGACAUUUCUAAAAUUCAGUUCUCACCUUGUCAUUAAGAGGUACGUAGUGUAAAAAAAAAACAAAAAAACAAAAAACAAUUGUAUAUCAGGUUGCAACAUAACAAAAUUGAAAAUGUGAAGGGGGUCGGAAUACUUUCAGAAUGCACUGCAAAUAUACUCUAUAUACAAAAGACAAGUACAGUAUAUGUUAAAUGAAAUAUAUAAGACAGGUACAUGAACUAAUACUUACACACACAUACACACAAAUAGCCCGAAUGCACUGUAAGUCACUUUGGAAAAUAUAAUUUCCUAAAUGCAUAAUGUAUGUAAAUGCAAUACUUACUGUGAGGGAGUAAACAAGGGCAGCUGAUCCCAGAGGCAUACAGCAGCACAGCAUGGUAAAGAUGGAGUAGCCCAGGUAAUCUGGCAGUGGAUUGGUCAGUGGAGUGAACACUUCAGCCAUAGGCUGCACAGUGACUACAUUCUGGACCAGAUUUGACCUGGAGUGUACAGGCCAGAUGCUACCAGACCUCCAUGUUGCUGGGAAUUGCUGUAAGAGGGAAGGAAUCCAGCAUCAGAGUACUCCGGAGGGUCCUGCUGCAGUGAAAAAAAGGAUGCCCUGUUUCUGGAUUCUGAGAUGAAUUCCACUCUGUUGUAGACUUUCUUGAAUCCAUAUUUCUCUUGAUUGCUAUUAGCUCUUCUGCAGCUCUGAAGUGUCUCUCACUAGUCAGUGAAUAUUAAUCUGUCGCAUUUGUGCACAUCCCUUUUAAGGGGACUGGUAGGUGGGUUGUCUUGUAAGUUGAGGUGUGACAAGAUUUUGGCAUAGAUUUAAUUUUCUAGCAAUUCUCCAGCUUGACUGCGAGUGCCAUCUGGUGGAAUCAACAUGCAAC
Carassius auratus (goldfish) is the source of this 5727-nucleotide long non-coding RNA. NCBI's taxonomy places the organism in Eukaryota, Metazoa, Chordata, Actinopteri, Cypriniformes, Cyprinidae. The record is from Ensembl.